AUGCCAUGAUGUGGACACUUAACCAACAUACCCUUGAACCUCUCCCACGUUUCUUGUAAUGUUUUUGUUGGUUUCUGCCUGAAGCUCAAUAUCUCAUCACUUUGUGGGU
This is a small nucleolar RNA of Nicotiana attenuata, 109 nucleotides long. It matches the Rfam family "Plant small nucleolar RNA R71". From Rfam's summary of the family: R71 is a member of the C/D box family of snoRNAs containing the C (UGAUGA) and D (CUGA) box motifs. The record is from Rfam. NCBI's taxonomy places the organism in Eukaryota, Viridiplantae, Streptophyta, Magnoliopsida, Solanales, Solanaceae.